This 76-nucleotide transfer RNA is filed under the name Candidatus Omnitrophica bacterium ADurb.Bin292. Its description in RNAcentral is "tRNA-Ala". It matches the Rfam family "tRNA". From Rfam's summary of the family: Transfer RNA (tRNA) molecules are approximately 80 nucleotides in length. Their secondary structure includes four short double-helical elements and three loops (D, anti-codon, and T loops). Further hydrogen bonds mediate the characteristic L-shaped molecular structure. tRNAs have two regions of fundamental functional importance: the anti-codon, which is responsible for specific mRNA codon recognition, and the 3' end, to which the tRNAs corresponding amino acid is attached (by aminoacyl-tRNA synthetases). tRNAs cope with the degeneracy of the genetic code in two manners: having more than one tRNA (with a specific anti-codon) for a particular amino acid; and 'wobble' base-pairing, i.e. permitting non-standard base-pairing at the 3rd anti-codon position. Lineage: Bacteria; Pseudomonadati; Candidatus Omnitrophota. RNAcentral also lists the same sequence under 2 other names. The record is from RNAcentral.
GGGCCGGUAGUUCAGUUGGGAGAACGCUACAAUGGCAUUGUAGAGGUCAGGGGUUCAACUCCCCUCCGGUCCACCA